This 253-nucleotide ribosomal RNA is filed under the name Eubacterium coprostanoligenes. RNAcentral describes it as "partial 16S ribosomal RNA". It matches the Rfam family "Bacterial small subunit ribosomal RNA", at positions 524 to 776 of the family's 1533-position model. Lineage: Bacteria; Bacillati; Bacillota; Clostridia; Eubacteriales; Eubacteriaceae. The record is from RNAcentral.
UACGUAGGUGGCGAGCGUUGUCCGGAUUUACUGGGUGUAAAGGGAGCGCAGGCGGGGAUGCAAGUCAGACGUGAAAACUAUGGGCUCAACCCAUAACGUGCGUUUGAAACUGUAUUUCUUGAGUGAAGUAGAGGUAGGCGGAAUUCCGAGUGUAGCGGUGAAAUGCGUAGAUAUUCGGAGGAACACCAGUGGCGAAGGCGGCCUACUGGGCUUUUACUGACGCUGAGGCUCGAAAGUGUGGGGAGCAAACAGG